GACAGAGGGUGCAAACGUUGUUCGGAUUUACCGGGCGUAAAGCGUGUGUAGGCGGCUUGGCAAGUUGGAUGUGAAAGCCCACGGCUCAACCGUGGAAGCGCACCCAAAACUGCUUCGCUCGAGUCUCGGAGAGGAAGGUGGAAUGCUUGGUGUAGAGGUGAAAUUCGUAGAUAUCAAGCGGAACACCGGUGGCGAAGGCGGCCUUCUGGACAGUGACUGACGCUGAGACGCGAAAGCGUGGGGAGCAAACAGG
RNAcentral lists this ribosomal RNA (253 nucleotides) under uncultured bacterium. RNAcentral describes it as "partial 16S ribosomal RNA". It matches the Rfam family "Bacterial small subunit ribosomal RNA", at positions 524 to 776 of the family's 1533-position model. The record is from RNAcentral.